GUGCUCGCUUUGGCAGCACAUAUACUAAAAUUGGAACAAUACAGAGAUUAGCAUGGCCACUGUGCAAGGAUGACACGCAAAUUCACGAAGCAUUCCAUAUUUAA
Small nuclear RNA from Suncus etruscus (white-toothed pygmy shrew), 104 nucleotides. The record is from RefSeq and is a predicted model, not a curated record. NCBI's taxonomy places the organism in Eukaryota, Metazoa, Chordata, Mammalia, Eulipotyphla, Soricidae.